GCAGGGGCCGCGCGAACGCGUACCCCCUCUACCACAAAUUACGACGUCCACUCUCCCACUUGGGGAGAUGGUAGGCCAGCACAUCCACCAAGUGCAAUGUGGACCACUAGCCUAGGCCACGACUCUUCUUGA
Molecule: small nuclear RNA, 132 nt
Filed under: Triticum aestivum (bread wheat)
Lineage: Eukaryota; Viridiplantae; Streptophyta; Magnoliopsida; Poales; Poaceae
Description: partial small subunit ribosomal RNA
Source: RNAcentral